GAUGAACGCUGGCGGCGUGCCUAAUACAUGCAAGUCGAGCGAAUGGAUUAAGAGCUUGCUCUUAUGAAGUUAGCGGCGGACGGGUGAGUAACACGUGGGUAACCUGCCCAUAAGACUGGGAUAACUCCGGGAAACCGGGGCUAAUACCGGAUAACAUUUUGAACCGCAUGGUUCGAAAUUGAAAGGCGGCUUCGGCUGUCACUUAUGGAUGGACCCGCGUCGCAUUAGCUAGUUGGUGAGGUAACGGCUCACCAAGGCAACGAUGCGUAGCCGGCCUGAGGGGGUGAUCGGCCACACUGGGACUGAGACACGGCCCAGACUCCUACGGGAGGCAGCAGUAGGGAAUCUUCCGCAAGGGACGAAAGUCUGACGGAGCAACGCCGCGUGAGUGAUGAAGGCUUUCGGGUCGUAAAACUCUGUUGUUAGGGAAGAACAAGUGCUAGUUGAAUAAGCUGGCACCUUGACGGUACCUAACCAGAAAGCCACGGCUAACUACGUGCCAGCCGCCGCGGUAA
Molecule: ribosomal RNA, 515 nt
Filed under: uncultured bacterium
Lineage: Bacteria
Description: partial 16S ribosomal RNA
Rfam family: Bacterial small subunit ribosomal RNA
Source: RNAcentral